UAAGUAAUGACUAGCAAUUCUAUUCCAAUAGCCGUAUUUGAAGAGUCUUUGUGAUUAUAAGUUCUUUCUAUGGAAAUUACUCAGAUAUUUAGUUAUAUUUAAUAAUCUUUUCUACAUAUUACAUGCCAAGCAAUUUGGAUGUGGAUCUGGUAUAGAUAAAGUCACAAGUUACAAUCUGCUUUGAUGUGCAAAUCAAGCACCUAGAAUAUCAUAUAUUAUUAUCACAUAUGUGCAAGAAGAGGUAACAGGGAUGUUAGGAAUUUUUCGGUCCAGUGGAGUUACCAAUUUUCAACUUAUGUGGUUGUAUGCAUACUUAUGACUGAUAAUUCCAAAAAGGUAUGGGCCGAUUUAAAAUCCAAGACUAAGAAAAAAGGUCUGACCUUGUGGCAACAUGCCAGAGGGACUGGAGGUGGACCGGCUAGCCAGAAAUCCUUGUCGCAUUUGGAGGAAAGGGUUCUGGCUAUUAUCGGCCCAACAGCAGUGGAAGGACAAGACUAUACAAGAGCUUGGAUUUAGUAGACCUCAAUCUUCUGCACCUGCACCCUCUCAAUCAUCUGCAGUUGUUGCCCAAGAAGAUGAUCCAGUAUAUGUGGACUAUGGUGGUGGUGUGGUUAAAUAUUAAAAUAAGUAGAUAAGUAUAUUGAUAAGUUAAAAGACUGGAUACUUAUUAAAAUUGUUAUAUUAUUAUUAUUA
Long non-coding RNA from Amyelois transitella, 693 nucleotides. RefSeq lists it as uncharacterized. Lineage: Eukaryota; Metazoa; Arthropoda; Insecta; Lepidoptera; Pyralidae. The record is from RefSeq and is a predicted model, not a curated record. The transcript is spliced from 2 exons.